AGAACGAACGCUGGCGGCAUGCCUAACACAUGCAAGUCGAACGAGACCUUCGGGUCUAGUGGCGCACGGGUGCGUAACGCGUGGGAAUCUGCCCUUGGGUUCGGAAUAACAGUUGGAAACGACUGCUAAUACCGGAUGAUGACGUAAGUCCAAAGAUUUAUCGCCCAGGGAUGAGCCCGCGUAGGAUUAGCUAGUUGGUGAGGUAAAGGCUCACCAAGGCGACGAUCCUUAGCUGGUCUGAGAGGAUGAUCAGCCACACUGGGACUGAGACACGGCCCAGACUCCUACGGGAGGCAGCAGGUGGGAAUAGUUGGACAAGUGGGACGAAAGCCUGAUCCAGCAAUGCCGCGUGAGUGAUGAAGGUCUUACGGGUUGUAAAGUCGUUCGUUUUACCCGGGAUUGAAUAAGUGAAC
This 413-nucleotide ribosomal RNA is filed under the name uncultured soil bacterium. RNAcentral describes it as "bacterial SSU rRNA". It matches the Rfam family "Bacterial small subunit ribosomal RNA", at positions 26 to 458 of the family's 1533-position model. The record is from RNAcentral.